UCCCGAGUAGCGUAGCCUGGUAGCGCACUAGCCUGUGGAGCUGGAUGGCCGGGUUCAAAUCCCGGCUCGGGAC
Molecule: transfer RNA, 73 nt
Filed under: Candidatus Aenigmatarchaeota archaeon
Lineage: Archaea; Nanobdellati; Candidatus Aenigmatarchaeota
Description: tRNA-His
Rfam family: tRNA
About the family: Transfer RNA (tRNA) molecules are approximately 80 nucleotides in length.
Source: RNAcentral